Molecule: ribosomal RNA, 1014 nt
Filed under: Triticum aestivum (bread wheat)
Lineage: Eukaryota; Viridiplantae; Streptophyta; Magnoliopsida; Poales; Poaceae
Description: partial small subunit ribosomal RNA
Source: RNAcentral
AUGAUCUUUGUGUUGUUCAUAACGCAGAUCAAGAUGGAGAACAAUGACAAGGGCAAGGAGGUGGUGCCACCCUUGGACAAGGGCAAGGAGGUGGUGACGCACAUGGCCGAGGAGGUGCCGUCCACGGAUGAUGAGCUCGAGUGCAUACCAAUGCCUCUAGGUUUCACCAAGCACUUCCCGUCCGUGCCGACGGAGUUCAAGCUCAAGACGAACACCGACUGCUCAUGGAGGGUCACCGUGGGGUUGAUGAACGACAGGGUCGCCCUCGACCAGGGUAGGGCCAGCUUUGCCACCGUCCAUCAGAUCAAUAUCGGGUACAUGGUGACCUUCAAGUUGCUAACUCCCAACACGCUCAAGGCCAUCGUCUUCAACGACGACGACAUUGAAGUGGCUGCCCUCGAACCGCACCGCACCGCACCGCACCGGCACCACCCCACUCAUCCAAACCAACCAACGGCACAGAAACGAACCGGCAGGCAGCCGCUACGGCCACCCUCGCCCUGCGCCCCCGUUCACCACCACCAUCACGUGUCCUCUUGUUCUGCGACUGACGUGCGGCCCACCACGCGCCCACGCGGCAGUGCCCCCAGCGCGUGCGACCACGUCGCUGGCCGACCGUCCGUCCGCCCGUUCCAGGCCGCCAAAAGCAACUUUUACCACUCACCGCGCGCGCCGCUGACGAGGUGGGCCGCGACGACGCGUGAACCGGCCCGUCACCGGGGCCCACCCGUCAGACACACCUAUCAUUUAUUUUUAGGAGAAAUAAGAUCAUCGAUCAAUUACUCCCCCCCGCGCCCUUGGCCUUGGCCUCUUCUUCUCGCCGUCCGCGACGACCACUCGGAGAAGAAGAAGACGAGGAGGGGGAGGAAGCCAGCUCCCAUAAAUACCCACCUCCACCUCCAGCUCCGUCCCCGAGUCGAGUCGAGUCGCGAGCGGAGCUGGAUCGGAAUCGACAGCGACCUCCCCCUCCUCCGCCACGCGUAUUUCCUCCUCCUCCUCCUCCUUACCCACUAA